GAUGAACGCUGGCGGCGUGCCUAAUACAUGCAAGUCGAGCGAACAGACGAGGAGCUUGCUCCUCUGACGUUAGCGGCGGACGGGUGAGUAACACGUGGAUAACCUACCUAUAAGACUGGGAUAACUUCGGGAAGCCGGAGCUAAUACCGGAUAAUAUAUUGAACCGCAUGGUUCAAUAGUGAAAGACGGUUUUGCUGUCACUUAUAGAUGGAUCCGCGCCGCAUUAGCUAGUUGGUAAGGUAACGGCUUACCAAGGCGACGAUGCGUAGCCGACCUGAGAGGGUGGUCGGCCACACUGGAGCUGAGACACGGUCCAGACUCCUACGGGAGGCAGCAGUAGGGAAUCUUCCGCAAUGGGCGAAAGCCUGACGGAGCAACGCCGCGUGAGUGAUGAAGGUCUUCGGAUCGUAAAACUCUGUUAUUAGGGAAGAACAAAUGUGUAAGUAACUAUGCACGUCUUGACGGUACCUAAUCAGAAAGCCACGGCUAACUACGUG
RNAcentral lists this ribosomal RNA (497 nucleotides) under uncultured bacterium. RNAcentral's name for it is "partial 16S ribosomal RNA". It matches the Rfam family "Bacterial small subunit ribosomal RNA", at positions 28 to 507 of the family's 1533-position model. The record is from RNAcentral.